CACGGCCGAAGGAGCAGCCCCGGGCGGGGCUCAGGGCUCAGCGCCCGGCUCGCCACCCCCACCCCCGGCCGCGCCUCGGCCGAACAAAGGCGGCGGUGGCGGCGGGGCCGCUCCGUGCGGCGCGAACACGGCGAGGGGUGAGCCCACACAGAUCCGGGCUCGGCGGCGUUGGGAGGGCCCCGCGCCCCGGCCCCCGCGCUCGGCCCGGCCCCACUCGGCGGCGUGUCGGGAGGAAGCGCCGGCCGCGCGGCCGCCGGCCCCUCGGCUCGACCGCCCCCCGUCUCCUCCCCUUCGCAGCCGAUCCUCCGCCCCCUCCUCCUCCCGCUGGCGGCGGCGGCGGCUUUCUCGGCCCCGGCUCCCCGCUCUUCCUUACGGCUUCGCCUCGCUCCUCAGCGGGAGGCUCCGAGCCGCGCCGGCGAAGACGGCAGUGCUGCAAGGAGUUCUGGGAGUUCCGGGGAGAAGAGACCAGCCUCCCUCUGGAGACCUUUACUACAGGUGAAGACCUUCAAACAAGUCAAGCAGACAUAGCAGGAGCUCAGAAGUUUUACAUCAAGCCUCCACUGAAGCUUUGCAGUCC
Molecule: long non-coding RNA, 577 nt
Filed under: Gallus gallus (chicken)
Lineage: Eukaryota; Metazoa; Chordata; Aves; Galliformes; Phasianidae
Description: long non-coding RNA NONGGAT004373
Source: RNAcentral